Lynx canadensis (Canada lynx) is the source of this 674-nucleotide long non-coding RNA. RefSeq lists it as uncharacterized. The record is from RefSeq and is a predicted model, not a curated record. Lineage: Eukaryota; Metazoa; Chordata; Mammalia; Carnivora; Felidae. The transcript is spliced from 2 exons.
CACUUCCAUCAUGGACAGCACUGGACUUGCUCUGGUUUGUUCAGUUCCUUUCUCCUUCAGGGCACUCCUCCGGGGCAAGCACCACGUCCCUAAAGGCCCCAGCACAGUCUGGAGAGAGGACGGAGCCAAGUGUCUCCAUAUCAAAGGAACAAAUGUUUAGCCUCCCUCACGACCCUGGAGAAGCGGACGAGACUAGACUCCAAUUUACCGACGGACGAAAGAGCACAUGGCGGAGAAAGGACGCGCCCCAGGUCAAACCACUGGCUGGCAAGGGACGGAGUUGGGGUCCGACCCCAAACCUCCGUGACCCGCAGCUCGGGCCACACUGGACGCUGGUCAAAGGGAAGGCUGACACAGGCCUCGCAGAACAGGCUCCGGGCCCCCAGUUACCACGAUGCCUCGAAGCCAUGCCUGACCCUGCUCCCCGCAUCUGCCCUGGUUACCCCUCGAGGCCCUGGGCUCAGCCUCCUGGACUGGAGCUACCAAGCUGACCCCUCGGCCCUACUCCUCACAGAAGACCGGGCUUUGUCUCCACGGGACAAUUAGCAGCUACCGUGGGCAGCAGACAGGAUCAAAAUGAGAGGCCAGGACGAACCCCAGUUCCUGCUGUGUGACUACCUAACGGGUCACUGGCUACACAGAGCCUCAAUGUCCUCUUUGGGAAAAAAAAAAAA